Molecule: ribosomal RNA, 424 nt
Filed under: uncultured bacterium
Lineage: Bacteria
Description: partial 16S ribosomal RNA
Rfam family: Bacterial small subunit ribosomal RNA
Source: RNAcentral
AAUUUUGGACAAUGGGCGCUACCCUCAUCCAGCCAUGCCGCGUGUGUGAUGAAGGCCUUCGGGUUNUCAAGCUCUUUCUGACGGAANGAAAUCGCGCAUGCUAAUACCCUUCGCGGAUGACGCUACUGUCUUAAGAAGCACCUGCUAACUACGUUCCAGCAGCCGCGGUAAUACGUAGGGUGCGAGAGUUAAUCGGAAUUACUGGGCGUAAAGCGUGCGCAGGCGGUUGAUUAAGACAGGAGUGAAAACACCGGGAUUAAACUAGGAACUGCGGUUGUGACUAGUCAGCUAGAGUACGGCAGAGGGGGGUGGAAUUCCACGUGUAGCAGUGAAAUGCGUAGAGAUGUGGAGGAACACCGAUGGCGAAGGCAGCCCCCUGGGCAGAUACUGACGCUCAUGCACGAAAGCGUGGGUAGCAAACAGG